RNAcentral lists this unclassified non-coding RNA (326 nucleotides) under Acacia papyrocarpa. RNAcentral describes it as "partial contains external transcribed spacer and 18S ribosomal RNA". The record is from RNAcentral. Lineage: Eukaryota; Viridiplantae; Streptophyta; Magnoliopsida; Fabales; Fabaceae.
GUGCCGUCCACCGAACGGUCGGCAGGCGAUCCGCCUCGGUCUCGCGAGGUGGUAUGGUUCCCCAGAGGCCGGUUCUUGUGCUGCCUACCCGUUCGAGGGAAGCUGGCCACUUGAUGUAAGCCUCCAUCCGGCGCCCUCCAACGGGCGCAGGAGGACAACGGAGCACCCCCCGCGUUCCACCGAUCCAUCUCGGUCGCGUGGCCUGUGGGGACGUGCGAUGCUCUCGGACCCAGCGAACGCCGUGGGCGAGGACUCACGUCCCAGUCCCGAAAUGAAGCUUCGGUAUAGUGCAUGACGGCCGCUCCCGCCCCCCGACCGCCCCGGGG